UGCAGAUGGCGAAUCCACAUGAACCUCAUUUUUUUAAGCCUCUGCUUCCUGGUUUCCACAGUGGCGUCACAAUACCACUUGGCUUCUUCUCAAAGCACAAAGAAGGGAAGACGAACCAGAAAACAUGGAAACUAAGAUCGGACGCUUCAGAUCAAACUUGGGAAGUGAUACAAGAAGGCAGGACACUCACCGGAGGUUGGAAAGAUUUCACCACAGCACAUGACCUUCAAAUCGGUGACGUUGUCAUCUUCAAACACGAAGGAGACAUAGUGUUUCAUGUCACUCCUUUUGGUCCUAGCUGUUGUGAGAUUCAGUAUACACAUCCUCACAUCAUCAAGGAAGAAGCCGACGCGGGUGAUGCUGAUGACAAUGAGAUUAGUAAGUUUCAAUCAAAGUUCAUCGUUUUGGUCCUAGCUGUUGUGAGAUGUUUUGACGUGGAAAAUUAUUUUUUUUAUUUCAGGAGGAACAUGGGCAAUGUCUUCUUUCUCAUUCGACUACUGUUUUUUGGCUGAAGUCACUGCUUCAAAUCUAAAAGCAGAUAAACUUGUGAGUCAAUUUUCAUACGUAAACCAUAUUUUGUUAGUCAAUUUUCAUACGUAUAAACCAUAUUAUGUGUUUGCAGUAUCUUCCUAAGGGAGCUACGAGUUCUACUGCUUUAAACAAACAAUGCCAAGAGAUGAUACUAGUGAACAAAGAGGGAAAUUCAUGGACUGUGAGUUUGCGAUUUAGCGAAUCAGGCGGCAUGUAUUACAUCACAAGAGGCUGGGGAAAGUUCUGUCGUGAUAACAGAUGCGACAUAAGAGACUUAUUUGUGUUCAAUCUGGUUGGAGAUGGGAAAACUACUCCAUUGUUGUGUGUAUGUCCGGAAAGUAAAGAGUGUUCUGAACUACUGAGCAAACACUUGAGCAGAAAGCGUGGUGAGUCUUCUCCAUUGACUUGCUUGAGACGUCUUUAACUUGCUUGUUCUUUCUUUGCUUCUGGUUUAACUUGCUUGUUUUGUUUUGUUCUGCAGGUGACAUUGCUUCUGACUCACGGGUGAAUUAGGAGAAUGGUCAAGUAGUCUUGCGUCUCUUUAGCUUGCGUCUCUUUAGCUAUGUAUCUCGGACUUGUUUAGAGCUUCUAUCCUAUUGUUUCCUUGCUACAAUGUACUUGUAUGAUCAGUUCAGUUUAGACUCAAGUUCUUGUGUUUCUCGAGUAUCAACUUACUUAUAAGUUUAAAUCUUUUUCCUCUACUCUUGUAAGUUUAAAUCUCUUUAGCUAACUACAAUUUUGCUUCUCUUCAUUCUCUUGUCUUUUAUGUUAUACAAGUAAGAAGAUAACUUGUACAAGUAAGAACAUAACAAAAUCAAGCUAAGAAGAUAACAAAAGUUAUACAAAUAAGAAACAUAAUUUAUAUACAAAAUGAGAAAUUAUAUACAAAACUUUUACUUAUAGAUAAAAAUUAAAACAUAAUUUACAGUUAUAGUUUAAAAAAAACACUAAUUUUAGCUUAUAGUUAAAAAAAAUAUAAAAUACUUAUUUGAUUUUACAUUUUCUUUAAAAAUAUGUUUAAUUAUUGUAUGUUUACAUUUUCUUUUCUAAUAAAUGAAAAUUUUUAAUUUCAAAUUUUAAAAUUUAAAAUUUCUAAGAUUAAAAAAAAAACACUAAAGAUUCCAUGUUAAAUAACACCAUUAGACCUAUAAUUAUGAUAAGAGUCUUUAACUAUUGAAAAAAAAACAUUAUAAUAUAGCUAAGGAUUCUAAUGGUGGAUAACACCAUUAGAGCACCAUUAACCCAAAACCUCAUAUAGGGGUGCUUAUUUUUUUUUUAAUAUUAUUUAGUUGUAAAAGUGAUUUAAGAAGCAACGCUAAGAACCCUGGACAUUUUUGUGCUCCAAUGGGGAACUCUUAUUUUGGGGUUCUUAAAAAAAAAACAUUAUUUUUGCUUGUGUUCUUCUUGAUCAGCAGAAACGAUUAAUUUCUCAAAAGUUUGAUCAGAAAAUUGAUCAAACUUUUCAUCAAAUGCAUUAUCAAAUGCAUCAUCAAAUGAUUCAUCUAAAGUG
Long non-coding RNA from Brassica rapa (field mustard), 2041 nucleotides. RefSeq lists it as uncharacterized. Lineage: Eukaryota; Viridiplantae; Streptophyta; Magnoliopsida; Brassicales; Brassicaceae. The record is from RefSeq and is a predicted model, not a curated record.